UGGGAUUGUCCAUGAGGUUCAGUUUCCAGAUGUUUUCUAAUCUUUAUCCCCUUCAGUGACUUUGCCAGGUGAUGAUGCAUCACCCAUGAAAGGGGAAGGCUAUUUCUCAGUAAGGGAGAUUUCCUUGUGUGCACUGAACUGAACUGAAGAGCUGGGAGAGAAAUCAUUUAUAUUUAGUGAUUCUAGGGGUUCAAGCUGUUCACCUGAGCUGGGAAAACAUUAGGAAGCUACCUGCUCAUCCAAGCACCUCUCAGGAGGGGAAAAAAAGAAAACAAAAGCAUUUUCCACAGUGAAGAAGAAGGUUUAGAAGGGUUUGGCUCCUAGAAAUUGAAAUAAGACAAGUUUAGAGUGAGGGAUUACCAGACAUGUUAUCACUUGGUUUAAUUAAGACACAAGUACUGAAAUCCAGGCAGGGUCUGCAGCCUGUCAUGGAAGAAAUGUGAGCAUAUGAUCACAAGAGGUUCAUUCCAGCUUUGCUCCCUCCUGGGCAUUUAAGAGCACUUUGUUUACCCAGUCCUGUUCUGGGGAUUUCAGGCUCUUCUAAAUCAUCAGUUCAACAGGCACUCGUAAAUCCAUUGUAAGCACACAGCCAGGAGCACAGUAGCUCUGUCACAAGAACCAUUCAUCCUGAGCCCAGAGAAUCACAAAAUAGAAAUGAUUUCUCUCCCAGUUCUUCAGUUAUCCAACGGCUCUUCUGCUCAGUUUUCUAAUUUCUCAUUAGAAGCAGAGGUAGUGCUCCUUCAGUGACCCCAACUAUGCCAAAUAGUCUCCUUGCUCCACUCUAGUUAUUUUUAAUCUAGUUCUCCAUCUUCUACUCCAAAAUUUUGCCAGGAUCUGAGUCAAGCCAAAGCCCACAUAAUGGCUUUAUUGUCCACAGAGCCAUUAAAUUAGUGAUAAUUCUCUGGCUAUUCCCUGUAUUACUGAAAAUGAGCUUUCCCAGCCAACUUCACCAGCUUAACAAUUAGCACCUACUUUAAACUGCAAUUUUAGCCUUCCUUCAAGGAGCAGCAGAUUCCACAAGUAUGGAGUGAAAGUGUGGGGUUGUGGGUGGAUGAAUGACUCAAUCAGUCUGCUUAUUCCAGAAGGAUUCCUGGAUUCCUGCCUUAAGGUACUAGAAGGGGAAGGAAUCCUUCUCUCUCACAUCUGUUAUGAGAAGCUCCCCUUCAUCUGCCAGCUUUGUGGCAAUUGUUUAGACUGUUUAAGUUAAAACAACUUCAACACCUGUCCUCUGAUUAGCUGAUGGAAGGACUGCAAAGCCUCUUCAGUGUAAUGUUCUGAUUGCCAUCACCGGACGUGCCAGAUUGUCCCCAUCAACUGAUCACUUAAGAUGGUGACACUCACUGGAUUUGGGAAGGUAAAGUCUGUGAGAAGUCAAAGGCUCAUAAAGGAAAGCAAUUGCAAGUGAAAGAUUUGCACAAUUAUGGUGUAGCUCUUAUUUCUUUUACUUCCCUUCUGGCUAGGUAGAUUGUAAAUUUUUAAAAAGUAUUUUUUAUUAUUUUUAUUUACUGAAAAAAUGGGGAUAAGGGAAGAAAUGCAUCAAGUUUAGGUUUUCCUAGUGAAAAUAGAAAAUAUGGAAUAUGUUCUGGCCCUGUUAUUAAAAUGUUCCAGUGGAUUUGGCCCAAAUAUUCGUAAAUGUUUUAUUUCAAGUACUGUGGGAAAAGCAAAGGAAGGGGAAAAAAAAAGUUUCUUCAUUGACUUGCUGGGACAGGAACUGAAGAAGGGAGGGGUGGUGAUUGUACUCACUGUCAUCCAAACAGGCAGCCUGGAUGGAAUUUUGUCAUUGUGCAAAUUUAAAAAAAAAUAUGAUCCAGAUCAGGACAUUUUAUAAUCGUGUGUUUGCCAAAUUGAAAGAGAACUGGGUAUUCCCUUUAAUGAACAUUUAAUCCAAGGAUUUGGAGUCUUUUCUGAAAAGCAAACCUGUAGGACAGCCAACAUCUGUGGCUGGUGCUGCUCUCCUGCCAGAAAAAUCGCUUUGACAUUAUUGCAGGCACUUACAAAGCUCUUUUUGGCUACUCCCUUACCAAUGUGAUGAUGUUAUUUGAGGGCCAUUAUUUCAAAGUACCCCCAAUUAAAACGUUUUUUAUUUCUUAUAAAUCUUCUGCGAUUUCUUCUGCCAGCUAAUCUGGUGUUUACGACUCCCAGGGCUUGCAGAAAUAAUCUGUAAUUGUUCUUACUUUCCACUCCCAAUAUUAAGACACUUUUCCUUGUGUUUACCACCACACCUCUUUGUCUUCUGAUGGAAUUUUGUAUUCUGCUAUUCUCUCCUAAUUCCCUCUUAAAACCAGUAGUGGUGCAAUCAUUGUAUCAGGAAGCAAUAAACAGAUUUAUUUUAUGCUUUUUGCAAGAAAGAAUUUUGAAGUCCAGACUUUCCAAGAACUUGACUUUUUGGAUACACUGAGAAUGAGCAAAAGGAAACAUUGUGUCAGUUAUACAAAAAUCAGAAGAUGUUUUCUUGAUAAAAUCAAAGGAUUUUACAGAGAUACAUGAAUUGCAGUGAACUCUCCCCAGAGCACUAACAGCGUCUGAUGAGCUUUUUUGAUGACUUCUUGUCUUGGCUUUGUGCUCUUUUUGGAACAGUGAUCUGAAAUGUUUGGUUGGUUUUUUGGUGGUGGUGCUUUCUUGUUUUUUUUUCCCUCCCCCUCCAAAAUGAGGCUUUCAUGGAAAACAUCUUUUUUACAUCCUUAUGUCUGUGUAGAGAACAAGUUCUUGGUGUGAACUCGUACAACACUCCACUCUUAACUCAUCAACAGGUGCCAAGAGCAGCUCAGAAUUAUUUCAAAUUAAUCACAGGACUAACAUCUUCAAUAAAAGCUGUGUUAGCUGGGAUGCCAUCUGCAUAUUCUCUUCUCAUGGUGGCUGAGGAGCAAUCCAGGUAAACUCCAGCUGAUCAAAGCUCUCCAUAGUAACCAGCAGCAACUCCAGAAAGGAGAGAAAAUCAACAACUUAUUCAAAGCAGUGUGAACUGGAAGGUGAUUCAAGUCAACUGGAAAAAUCCCAAAUGAUGUCCUGCUGGUUGAUGUUGCUGCCCAAGGAGCCUCUCCUCUGUCAUGGAGGGAAAUGAAUGGGUGACAGGGGACAACUGGCCUGUGAAGGUCUGUGCAUCUAGAAAAGAACUAAUAAGUGGAAAAAAGCAGAAGUUCUGUUGGAAAUAACACUGAGUCUUGAAACAAAGUCCUGGUGCUGGUAGCAGUUCACCCCAGCACAGCCUGGGGAGUUAAAACCUGUGUCAGUGCUGGGCAACUGCAGUUCAGGGGUGUCUGUGCCUCUCCAGAGCUGCCCUGCUGGCUCUGACUGCUGGGGGUCCUCAAAGGAGCUGGAGAGAAGGGAAGGAUCCAUGAAUGAAUCCCAGGAAUGGCAUUCAGCAUUCCUGUUGGGCUACACCACGAACUGGCAAGGAAGUUCAAACUGGAAUCUGCCUCCUGUGUCUCUGUCAAUAACCACAGAACCUGUGCUUGCUUUUAAUAAAACCAGAGAGUCAUUAACGUUGGAAAAGACCUCUAAGACCAUUGAAUCCAACUGUUAACAAUAUUGGCUCAACAGUAUGUGGCUGGGGGAUAAAAAGUUGUAUUGCUUUAAAAAUUUACUAAUUUGCUGAAUUCAAAUAAAAGUGGGAUUUAGUGAAGCAAGCCGAGGGUUUGUGUCUGAACAUCUGGCUGUAGAUGUGACCACUAUUGUGUGCCAGGGAUCUGCAGGACUCUGUUCCACCCCUGUUGGAAAUACCAUGCCAGCAGAGGUCUGGUUUGUGUCAAAACAAACACUGGAUAUGUUGCUUCAUAUAAAACAGAGUGUUCAGCAAGAACAGUAAUGAAAUAGUUGGCUAUAAAAACCCUGCUGUUCUCAGAACUAAAAUGUGAUGCACUUACAACAGAAAGGGCACUUUUUGUAAGACAUUGAAGUCUUCUUUAUAUGUUUUGAAUAUAUUUUACUAAAUCAGUUGCCUGGAAAUGGAGUUUAAUUCUGGAAUUCAAUGAAUGUUGAACAGUCGUUUCCUCUCUGCACUGUUGGUUGUUUUAUAGGUACUUCACAUGCACCUUCUUCAGUCAUGUCUUCUGAGAGCCAGUGUUACAUGGAUUUAUUUGGAUGGGAAAUGGUUCCUCAGUUGGGGUUAUCCUUUUUGUCUCUCUCUGGAUUAUUUUACCAUUCACAACUGCAGGUAGCAUUGCAAACACAGAUGCAUCACUGGUUAAUGCAGCUGUCCUCUGCCUCCCUCUCCAGUAUCUCCCUCAGUGUGUUAACUGCAUUUUUUCAAUGAUAAGAAUUGAUUUGGAAAAUCACUCUGACAACUCCUCUGCAAAGUGCUCAUCAAGGAGUCAUCAAGGACUCAGGUUCUUGCCUUCUUGCAUGUCUUUGCAUUGUCGAAUUUUUAUUGUCCAGGCUUUGUUGCAGGACCUCCUGAUGCUUUCUGCAUGGUUGGUCUGAAUAACUGUGUCAAAAACUCUGUCUUAAGGAUCCUGGAAAAGAACUGGAUACCACUUGGCAACUAUGAGCAUCCUGUGAGUGCUUUUGGACUUCUUUCCUUUCUGGAAAACAUCCAUUCUUCCCUAGCCUUUAAGCAACUGUUGGUACAAAACUAGUCUUGGACUUAAUUCUUGUCCUGUGACAGCUCAGUAUGUUUAAGUGCCUUCAUAAAGGCACUGCUGAAAGAUGCAUUUAAGUAAAAUAAUAAAUCUGUGGUGUAUCAACAACAGAUCUUUAUCUCUCCUGUUGAUGCCUUAACAUUUUUAGAUUUCCAGGGCAAGAGCUCUCUCUGCUCUUAUCUGAGUGUUUGAUCUACUUGAGACUUUAAUAACUUUUAUUAGUUAUUUAAUAAGUUAUGUAAGACAUUUAGUAAGUUUUUUAUUCAGUGCAGUGCUGUGAUGGGGUUUUUUGCUCCAUAAUCAUUCCUCCUAUGUUUUACUCCACAGGAAUUCUGAGGAAAAUCACAGAUCCAGCUGCUCUGUAACUGAACUGCCUGACCAGCUGCUCCAGGGCAACAUCCACAGCUCCAUCCCUCUGCUCCUUGGCUGCCUGGUUGAGCCCCAAGAAGCUGUUCAUGGUGUCUAAAAAUGAUACCUCUGCCCUGUGUCCAAGUGUGUGUCCCACUGCACAUGGCAGACACGUCACCUCUGUUCCCAUCCCACGCCAGAAAUCUGGGCUCCCAUCCUCGGGAAAUCACCCUCUGUGGCUUUUUCAGUCAAAAGGUUUGUUUUAAACAGUGCUCAGAAGUGGUUUUUCUCAGGCUGUGAGACAGUUUGUGGUGUUACACUGACCCUUUUUUGUUCUGUUUCAACAGCUAAAAAUCAGGGGUGAUUUCUGUGGUGUUGCCUAAGGAUGCAUCUCACUGAGUUUGUCUUACACUCUAAACCAGCUUCUGAGCAGCUCACAGCCUGUUCAGAACAAUCUCUUCUCUGCAGUGCCUGGCCUGGGACAUGCCAGAGGAAGGAUGCAUUUCCUCCAGCAGAAAAUAUCAAGACAAGGGACAAAACAGCAAACCUUUCUGUCUGUUCAGAGUGUGUGUUUGCAUCCUCAUGUGCCCUUCUACCAGUGUAAUGCACAGAAGAUUUCCAGGACAAACAAACUGCGACUGCACUCCCCUUGUUCAUGGCUGGGCACAUUCCUGUGACCAGGAUUGAUCCAACAAGCAGUGGUGGAGCAGAGCUGGCUGUAGAGCUCAGCCACCAGCUAAAAUCUGCUGAGUGUGUUUGAAUCUUUGUCUAGAGCACAGAUUUAGCUUAGAAUGGGAGAGGACUCCUGGACAGCUCUGGAGAAUCAGCCCUUUUCUGUGGUGUGGAUGCAUUGAGGUCAUCGUGGUUGAUCCUUGGGUUCACAGUGGUGUCAAUGUGGACCAAUUUAAUUUAGGCAAAGAUGCCAAACUGCACCAGGGCUAAACCAAAGGCCAGGAUUUGUUACUCUGGCUUUGCUGUUCGGGGCAGACAAACUGUCAGUAUUUAGAACUGAGAGGAUUCCUUGUAGCAAAGCACAGGAGACUCAAGGUGUGGUUUGAGCUGUUCGAAUUUCUCUGCUGGAUUAAACUGGGCACCUCUAAAGGUCUUCUUUAAAAACAAAGAAGAGAAAGCUCCUGUUUAACCUCCUGGAGGCUCAUCAAACCCCACAGCUGUCACAGUGCCCAAGAUCUAAUUUUAAAUGGGCCAGGAGCAAAGUUGGGGGUUAGUGCAGACACUUUUAACUGUGUCCUUUGGGUACCUAAUUUUUGUGAGGUGUAAUGUUCUUGUCCUGUCAGCACAGAAUCACAGAAUAUUCUGGGUUGGAAGGGACCCACAGUGAACAUUCAGUCCAGCUCUUAAGUGAAUGGCCCCUACACAGGAUUGAACCCACGACCUUGGCAUUUUUAGCACCAAGUUUUAACCAGCUGAACUAAUCUCAGGGUCAUCAGUCACCAGCACAUCUUCAUUUCACUGAAUAACAGCCCCCCAAAUCAUAAGUCUUGGAAGUUUUACUGGCACACAAAACUGGGUUUGUGUUUUUAGCAGUUGUCUUUCCUUCCCAAAAGGAGCUGCAGGCAGACCCUGUCCCUCAGGAACUGCUGGGAUCAAGGCUUUGUGACCAGGUUUGCAGCAAACCCUUUUUGCAAGAAUGCCUGUUUAAACUCAUGAGAAAAAUAGACCACAGGGGACAUUCAAGAGAAACUUGUAAUUCCUGUUGGACACCAAAACAAAAAACUAAAAUUUUUCAAUGCCUUUGUCCCACAAACCCUUUCCUAGAAUUAUGAGAAAUAUAGGAUUUAUAUUUCUCUGGGAAAAAUGGAAAAAUAAAUCAACAUGUGGUAAGGCAAAUUGCAGGAGGAAUUUUAGCUCAAUGGAUCUGUCCAGGCUUCCCUUUCUGCUGCCUCAACUCUUCAACACUUCUGUUUAAGGUACACACAGAGUGAAAGAGCCAAUGCAGAGCAUUACAGAAAUGUUGAAAGGCACUAUUUUUCCUAGCAGUGUGAUAUUUUGACAUUGCCAUCCCCUUCCUUUUUUCCAAGCCUGCCAGGGAAUUUGGUCUCCACAAAAUAUAGUUUGCAGUGAAUUUGAGUAAUUUGUUAAAGAUGUUGCUGCAAUAUUUCCCCUCUAGUUCUUUCCCCGAAGCUUUAGACUGAAAAGUUUUAAUGUCAUAUUUAAAUAGAAACACAGCUACAAAUUUCCACUGGGUUCCCGGAUUCUGAGUCUGACAA
Pseudopipra pipra is the source of this 7153-nucleotide long non-coding RNA. RefSeq lists it as uncharacterized. Lineage: Eukaryota; Metazoa; Chordata; Aves; Passeriformes; Pipridae. The transcript has 4 exons. The record is from RefSeq and is a predicted model, not a curated record.